UACGGGGGGAGCAAGCGUUGUUCGGAUUUACUGGGCGUAAAGCGCGCGUAGGCGGUUUUGCAAGCCAGAGGUGAAAUGCCUGAGCUCAACUUAGGAAUUGCCUUUGGGACUGCGAGGCUUUGAGGACUGGAGAGGUGAGUGGAAUUCCCAGUGUAGAGGUGAAAUUCGUAGAUAUUCGGAGGAACACCAGUGGCGAAGGCGGCUCACUGGUCCAUUACUGACGCUGAGGUGCGAAAGCGUGGGGAGCAAACAGG
This 254-nucleotide ribosomal RNA is filed under the name uncultured bacterium. Its description in RNAcentral is "partial 16S ribosomal RNA". It matches the Rfam family "Bacterial small subunit ribosomal RNA", at positions 524 to 776 of the family's 1533-position model. The record is from RNAcentral.